GCCUAUGGCCAUACCAGUCUGAAAGUGCCUGAUCUCGUCAGAUCUCAGAAGUCAAGCAGACUUGGGCCUGCUUAGUACUUGUAUGGGAGAUCAACUAGGAAUCUCAGGUGCCGUAAGCU
This 119-nucleotide ribosomal RNA is filed under the name Pelobates cultripes (western spadefoot toad). The record is from RNAcentral. Lineage: Eukaryota; Metazoa; Chordata; Amphibia; Anura; Pelobatidae.